RNAcentral lists this ribosomal RNA (1723 nucleotides) under Salmonella enterica. RNAcentral describes it as "partial 23S ribosomal RNA". It matches the Rfam family "Bacterial large subunit ribosomal RNA", at positions 1179 to 2803 of the family's 2925-position model. Lineage: Bacteria; Pseudomonadati; Pseudomonadota; Gammaproteobacteria; Enterobacterales; Enterobacteriaceae. The record is from RNAcentral.
GGCUAAACCAUGCACCGAAGCUGCGGCAGCGAACGUAUCACUUAAAGCGAUUCAGCGGGUUACGAUUGACGGAGCGAAGCGACGUCAAAGCGUAUACAAAGUCGAGUCGGUUUAAGGAUACGUUCGUUGGGUAGGGGAGCGUUCUGUAAGCCUGUGAAGGUGUGUCGUGAGGCAUGCUGGAGGUAUCAGAAGUGCGAAUGCUGACAUAAGUAACGAUAAAGCGGGUGAAAAGCCCGCUCGCCGGAAGACCAAGGGUUCCUGUCCAACGUUAAUCGGGGCAGGGUGAGUCGACCCCUAAGGCGAGGCCGAAAGGCGUAGUCGAUGGGAAACGGGUUAAUAUUCCCGUACUUGGUGUUACUGCGAAGGGGGGACGGAGAAGGCUAUGUUGGCCGGGCGACGGUUGUCCCGGUUUAAGCGUGUAGGUGUGUGUUCCAGGUAAAUCCGGUUCACUUUAACACUGAGGCGUGACGACGAGGCACUACGGUGCUGAAGCAACAAAUGCCCUGCUUCCAGGAAAAGCCUCUAAGCAUCAGGUAACAUCAAAUCGUACCCCAAACCGACACAGGUGGUCAGGUAGAGAAUACCAAGGCGCUUGAGAGAACUCGGGUGAAGGAACUAGGCAAAAUGGUGCCGUAACUUCGGGAGAAGGCACGCUGACACGUAGGUGAAGUGAUUUACUCAUGGAGCUGAAGUCAGUCGAAGAUACCAGCUGGCUGCAACUGUUUAUUAAAAACACAGCACUGUGCAAACACGAAAGUGGACGUAUACGGUGUGACGCCUGCCCGGUGCCGGAAGGUUAAUUGAUGGGGUCAGCGCAAGCGAAGCUCCUGAUCGAAGCCCCGGUAAACGGCGGCCGUAACUAUAACGGUCCUAAGGUAGCGAAAUUCCUUGUCGGGUAAGUUCCGACCUGCACGAAUGGCGUAAUGAUGGCCAGGCUGUCUCCACCCGAGACUCAGUGAAAUUGAACUCGCUGUGAAGAUGCAGUGUACCCGCGGCAAGACGGAAAGACCCCGUGAACCUUUACUAUAGCUUGACACUGAACAUUGAGCCUUGAUGUGUAGGAUAGGUGGGAGGCUUUGAAGUGUGGACGCCAGUCUGCAUGGAGCCGACCUUGAAAUACCACCCUUUAAUGUUUGAUGUUCUAACGUGGACCCGUGAUCCGGGUUGCGGACAGUGUCUGGUGGGUAGUUUGACUGGGGCGGUCUCCUCCUAAAGAGUAACGGAGGAGCACGAAGGUUGGCUAAUCCUGGUCGGACAUCAGGAGGUUAGUGCAAUGGCAUAAGCCAGCUUGACUGCGAGCGUGACGGCGCGAGCAGGUGCGAAAGCAGGUCAUAGUGAUCCGGUGGUUCUGAAUGGAAGGGCCAUCGCUCAACGGAUAAAAGGUACUCCGGGGAUAACAGGCUGAUACCGCCCAAGAGUUCAUAUCGACGGCGGUGUUUGGCACCUCGAUGUCGGCUCAUCACAUCCUGGGGCUGAAGUAGGUCCCAAGGGUAUGGCUGUUCGCCAUUUAAAGUGGUACGCGAGCUGGGUUUAGAACGUCGUGAGACAGUUCGGUCCCUAUCUGCCGUGGGCGCUGGAGAACUGAGGGGGGCUGCUCCUAGUACGAGAGGACCGGAGUGGACGCAUCACUGGUGUUCGGGUUGUCAUGCCAAUGGCACUGCCCGGUAGCUAAAUGCGGAAGAGAUAAGUGCUGAAAGCAUCUAAGCACGAAACUUGCCCCGAG